GAGAGCCAUAACACAGGUGCUGCAUGGCUGUCGUCAGCUCGUGUCGUGAGAUGUUGGGUUAAGUCCCGCAACGAGCGCAACCCUUGUCAUUAGUUGCUACAUUCAGUUGGGCACUCUAAUGAGACUGCCGGUGACAAACCGGAGGAAGGUGGGGAUGACGUCAAGUCCUCAUGGCCCUUAUAGGUGGGGCUACACACGUCAUACAAUGGCCGGUACAAAGGGUCGCAAACCCGCGAGGGGGAGCCAAUCCAUCAAAGCCGGUCGUAGUCCGGAUCGCAGUCUGCAACUCGACUGCGUGAAGUCGGAAUCGCUAGUAAUCGUGGAUCAGCAUGUCACGGUGAAUACGUUCCCGGGUCUU
Molecule: ribosomal RNA, 358 nt
Filed under: uncultured Hydrogenophaga sp.
Lineage: Bacteria; Pseudomonadati; Pseudomonadota; Betaproteobacteria; Burkholderiales; Comamonadaceae
Description: bacterial SSU rRNA
Rfam family: Bacterial small subunit ribosomal RNA
Source: RNAcentral